Molecule: transfer RNA, 72 nt
Filed under: Ovis aries (sheep)
Lineage: Eukaryota; Metazoa; Chordata; Mammalia; Artiodactyla; Bovidae
Rfam family: tRNA
About the family: Transfer RNA (tRNA) molecules are approximately 80 nucleotides in length.
Source: Rfam by way of RNAcentral
UCCCUGGUGGCUCAGAUGGUAAAGCGUCUGCCUUCAAUGCGGGAGACCUGGGUUCGAUCCCUGGUUUGGGAA